AGCGUACACGGUGGAUGCCCUGGCAGUCAGAGGCGAUGAAGGACGUGCUAAUCUGCGAUAAGCGUCGGUAAGGUGAUAUGAACCGUUAUAACCGGCGAUUUCCGAAUGGGGAAACCCAGUGUGUUUCGACACACUAUCAUUAACUGAAUCCAUAGGUUAAUGAGGCGAACCGGGGGAACUGAAACAUCUAAGUACCCCGAGGAAAAGAAAUCAACCGAGAUUCCCCCAGUAGCGGCGAGCGAACGGGGAGCAGCCCAGAGCCUGAAUCAGUGUGUGUGUUAGUGGAAGCGUCUGGAAAGGCGCGCGAUACAGGGUGACAGCCCCGUACACAAAAAUGCACAUAUUGUGAGCUCGAUGAGUAGGGCGGGACACGUGGUAUCCUGUCUGAAUAUGGGGGGACCAUCCUCCAAGGCUAAAUACUCCUGACUGACCGAUAGUGAACCAGUACCGUGAGGGAAAGGCGAAAAGAACCCCGGCGAGGGGAGUGAAAAAGAACCUGAAACCGUGUACGUACAAGCAGUGGGAGCCUCUUUUAUGGGGUGACUGCGUACCUUUUGUAUAAUGGGUCAGCGACUUAUAUUCUGUAGCAAGGUUAACCGAAUAGGGGAGCCGAAGGGAAACCGAGUCUUAACUGGGCGUUAAGUUGCAGGGUAUAGACCCGAAACCCGGUGAUCUAGCCAUGGGCAGGUUGAAGGUUGGGUAACACUAACUGGAGGACCGAACCGACUAAUGUUGAAAAAUUAGCGGAUGACUUGUGGCUGGGGGUGAAAGGCCAAUCAAACCGGGAGAUAGCUGGUUCUCCCCGAAAGCUAUUUAGGUAGCGCCUCGUGAAUUCAUCUCCGGGGGUAGAGCACUGUUUCGGCAAGGGGGUCAUCCCGACUUACCAACCCGAUGCAAACUGCGAAUACCGGAGAAUGUUAUCACGGGAGACACACGGCGGGUGCUAACGUCCGUCGUGAAGAGGGAAACAACCCAGACCGCCAGCUAAGGUCCCAAAGUCAUGGUUAAGUGGGAAACGAUGUGGGAAGGCCCAGACAGCCAGGAUGUUGGCUUAGAAGCAGCCAUCAUUUAAAGAAAGCGUAAUAGCUCACUGGUCGAGUCGGCCUGCGCGGAAGAUGUAACGGGGCUAAACCAUGCACCGAAGCUGCGGCAGCGACACUGUGUGUUGUUGGGUAGGGGAGCGUUCUGUAAGCCUGUGAAGGUGUGCUGUGAGGCAUGCUGGAGGUAUCAGAAGUGCGAAUGCUGACAUAAGUAACGAUAAAGCGGGUGAAAAGCCCGCUCGCCGGAAGACCAAGGGUUCCUGUCCAACGUUAAUCGGGGCAGGGUGAGUCGACCCCUAAGGCGAGGCCGAAAGGCGUAGUCGAUGGGAAACAGGUUAAUAUUCCUGUACUUGGUGUUACUGCGAAGGGGGGACGGAGAAGGCUAUGUUGGCCGGGCGACGGUUGUCCCGGUUUAAGCGUGUAGGCUGGUUUUCCAGGCAAAUCCGGAAAAUCAAGGCUGAGGCGUGAUGACGAGGCACUACGGUGCUGAAGCAACAAAUGCCCUGCUUCCAGGAAAAGCCUCUAAGCAUCAGGUAACAUCAAAUCGUACCCCAAACCGACACAGGUGGUCAGGUAGAGAAUACCAAGGCGCUUGAGAGAACUCGGGUGAAGGAACUAGGCAAAAUGGUGCCGUAACUUCGGGAGAAGGCACGCUGAUAUGUAGGUGAAGCGACUUGCUCGUGGAGCUGAAAUCAGUCGAAGAUACCAGCUGGCUGCAACUGUUUAUUAAAAACACAGCACUGUGCAAACACGAAAGUGGACGUAUACGGUGUGACGCCUGCCCGGUGCCGGAAGGUUAAUUGAUGGGGUCAGCGCAAGCGAAGCUCUUGAUCGAAGCCCCGGUAAACGGCGGCCGUAACUAUAACGGUCCUAAGGUAGCGAAAUUCCUUGUCGGGUAAGUUCCGACCUGCACGAAUGGCGUAAUGAUGGCCAGGCUGUCUCCACCCGAGACUCAGUGAAAUUGAACUCGCUGUGAAGAUGCAGUGUACCCGCGGCAAGACGGAAAGACCCCGUGAACCUUUACUAUAGCUUGACACUGAACAUUGAGCCUUGAUGUGUAGGAUAGGUGGGAGGCUUAGAAGUGUGGACGCCAGUCUGCAUGGAGCCGACCUUGAAAUACCACCCUUUAAUGUUUGAUGUUCUAACGUUGACCCGUAAUCCGGGUUGCGGACAGUGUCUGGUGGGUAGUUUGACUGGGGCGGUCUCCUCCUAAAGAGUAACGGAGGAGCACGAAGGUUGGCUAAUCCUGGUCGGACAUCAGGAGGUUAGUGCAAUGGCAUAAGCCAGCUUGACUGCGAGCGUGACGGCGCGAGCAGGUGCGAAAGCAGGUCAUAGUGAUCCGGUGGUUCUGAAUGGAAGGGCCAUCGCUCAACGGAUAAAAGGUACUCCGGGGAUAACAGGCUGAUACCGCCCAAGAGUUCAUAUCGACGGCGGUGUUUGGCACCUCGAUGUCGGCUCAUCACAUCCUGGGGCUGAAGUAGGUCCCAAGGGUAUGGCUGUUCGCCAUUUAAAGUGGUACGCGAGCUGGGUUUAGAACGUCGUGAGACAGUUCGGUCCCUAUCUGCCGUGGGCGCUGGAGAACUGAGGGGGGCUGCUCCUAGUACGAGAGGACCGGAGUGGACGCAUCACUGGUGUUCGGGUUGUCAUGCCAAUGGCACUGCCCGGUAGCUAAAUGCGGAAGAGAUAAGUGCUGAAAGCAUCUAAGCACGAAACUUGCCCCGAGAUGAGUUCU
This 2772-nucleotide ribosomal RNA is filed under the name Escherichia coli. RNAcentral's name for it is "bacterial LSU rRNA". It matches the Rfam family "Bacterial large subunit ribosomal RNA". The record is from RNAcentral. Lineage: Bacteria; Pseudomonadati; Pseudomonadota; Gammaproteobacteria; Enterobacterales; Enterobacteriaceae.